RNAcentral lists this ribosomal RNA (429 nucleotides) under uncultured bacterium. RNAcentral describes it as "bacterial SSU rRNA". It matches the Rfam family "Bacterial small subunit ribosomal RNA", at positions 354 to 776 of the family's 1533-position model. The record is from RNAcentral.
GUGAGGAAUCUUGCGCAAUGGGUGAAAACCUGACGCAGCGACGCCGCGUGGGGGAUGAAGGCUUUCGGGUUGUAAACCCCUUUUGGGAGGGAAGAAAACCCAUCCGUUAAUAGCGGAUGGCAUGACGGUACCUCCAGAAAAAGCCACGGCUAACUCUGUGCCAGCAGCCGCGGUAAGACAGAGGUGGCGAGCGUUGUUCGGAGUUACUGGGCGUAAAGCGCACGUAGGCGGUUGGGUCAGUCCUAUGUAAAAUCCCCCUGCUUAACAGGGGAAAGCCGUAGGUGACUGCCCGGCUAGAGGACGGGAGAGGAGAGCGGAAUUCCCGGUGGAGCGGUGAAAUGCGUAGAUAUCGGGAGGAAGGCCGGUGGCGAAGGCGGCUCUCUGGAACGUUCCUGACGCUGAGGUGCUAAAGCGUGGGUAGCAAACAGG